UACGUAGGGGGCAAGCGUUAUCCGGAAUUACUGGGUGUAAAGGGAGCGUAGACGGUAAUGUAAGUCUGGAGUGAAAGGCGGGGGCCCAACCCCCGGACUGCUCUGGAAACUAUGUUACUAGAGUGCAGGAGAGGUAAGCGGAAUUCCUAGUGUAGCGGUGAAAUGCGUAGAUAUUAGGAGGAACACCAGUGGCGAAGGCGGCUUACUGGACUGUAACUGACGCUGAGGCAUGAGAGCAUGGGGAGCAAACAGG
Molecule: ribosomal RNA, 253 nt
Filed under: uncultured bacterium
Lineage: Bacteria
Description: partial 16S ribosomal RNA
Rfam family: Bacterial small subunit ribosomal RNA
Source: RNAcentral